CCGCUGCCAGCCCGCCCUGCCUCUCCGGGGCUGGGCCAACCCCCGGGCCUCCCGACACGGCGUUUGGCGGAGCACCACGUCUCCUUUCCUCACGGCCCCCAUGUGCCCGGGGCGGAGGAGGCGGCUUGCUGGGCAGAAUUCCAGUGGGACGGCAUGUACUCCUUUUCCGAGGACAAUGAAAUCAGGAGCUGAGUACCAGACUACACUGACGCUUGAGGCUUGGCUGAACAGACAGAGGUCUGCUGGUGCGGGAAUGUGUCAGAAGCUGGAACACCAGUAGUUCAGGCUGUAGAGGCAACUGGAGACCAUCAUUGAGUUUAAUGGCAAGAAGAUCAGGCAUAAUAGGAAGACACUGGACACAGAGCAAUCUGACCAUCAGGUACUUCCUGCUUUGGUAAACGGACAAGAGGCCAGUGGGCAUCCAAAGGAGCAGCAAAGAUAAAAAGUGCUAGCAAAAAAGCACAACCUGCAUCAGAUUUAAGCAACUGAUCUCAAGAUAAAAGGUGACUCAUGGCAUAAUCAAUCUUCA
Molecule: long non-coding RNA, 529 nt
Organism: Aquila chrysaetos chrysaetos
Lineage: Eukaryota; Metazoa; Chordata; Aves; Accipitriformes; Accipitridae
Exons: 5
Source: RefSeq, a predicted model, not a curated record